This 507-nucleotide unclassified non-coding RNA is filed under the name Homo sapiens (human). Its description in RNAcentral is "nucleolar protein 8 (ENSG00000291347.1)". Lineage: Eukaryota; Metazoa; Chordata; Mammalia; Primates; Hominidae. The record is from RNAcentral.
AAACACAAGAAUGAACAGAACCUGGAGACUAACCUUCAUUUAGAAGAGGUAAAUGAAAAGAAAACUGCUGAGGAAGAAGAGCUUGCUGAAGAAAAAAAGAAAGCCCUGAAUGUUGUACAAAGUGUUUUGCAAAUCAACUUAAGCAAUUCUACAAACAGAGGAUCAGUAGCUGCUAAGAAAUUUAAGGACAUCAUACAUUAUGAUCCAACGAAGCAAGACCAUGCCACUUACGAAAGAAAAAGAGAUGAUAAGCCAAAAGAAAGUAAAGCAAAACGAAAAAAGAAAAGGGAGGAAGCUGAGAAACUACCUGAGGUGUCUAAAGAAAUGUAUUAUAAUAUUGCUAUGGAUCUGAAAGAAAUAUUCCAAACUACAAAAUAUACCAGUGAAAAGGAAGAGGGCACACCCUGGAAUGAGGACUGUGGUAAAGAGAAACCUGAGGAAAUCCAGGACCCUGCAGCUCUGACCAGUGACGCUGAGCAGCCCAGCGGGUUCACGUUCUCUUUUUUU